This 468-nucleotide ribosomal RNA is filed under the name uncultured bacterium. RNAcentral's name for it is "partial 16S ribosomal RNA". It matches the Rfam family "Bacterial small subunit ribosomal RNA", at positions 28 to 507 of the family's 1533-position model. The record is from RNAcentral.
GACGAACGCUGGCGGCGUGCUUAACACAUGCAAGUCGAACGGUGAAGCUCCAGCUUGCUGGAGUGGAUCAGUGGCGAACGGGUGAGUAACACGUGAGCAACCUGCCCCUGACUCUGGAAUAAGCGCUGGAAACGGCGUCUAAUACUGGAUACGAGAAGGGUCCGCAUGGGCACUUUCUGGAAAGUUUUUCGGUUGGGGAUGGGCUCGCGGCCUAUCAGCUUGUUGGUGAGGUAAUGGCUCACCAAGGCGACGACGGGUAGCCGGCCUGAGAGGGCGACCGGCCACACUGGGACUGAGACACGGCCCAGACUCCAACGGGAGGCAGCAGUGGGGAAUAUUGCACAAUGGGCGAAAGCCUGAUGCAGCGACGCCGCGUGAGGGAUGACGGCCUUCGGGUUGUAAACCUCUUUCAGCAGGGAAGAAGCGAAAGUGACGGUACCUGCAGAAGAAGCACCGGCUAACUACGUG